Molecule: long non-coding RNA, 1268 nt
Organism: Trifolium pratense (red clover)
Lineage: Eukaryota; Viridiplantae; Streptophyta; Magnoliopsida; Fabales; Fabaceae
Exons: 3
Source: RefSeq, a predicted model, not a curated record
UAGUCACGGAUCCAAUAGAAAUUUGACACGUCAGCUCAAGCAAAUUUCGCACAAAAUCAUUCGUGGCCCAGCUUUGUAGUUGCUUAGCAUCUUUAAUUGUACUCAGUUUAUGUUUAAUCAUUUAAAGCUAAGUUAAUUAACAUCCAAAAGUAACCAUGGUUUGUAUUUAGUUAUCUAUUAAAUUUUUUUUUUACAGAAGAUAUUUGUUCAUCUUUCAAUCUAAUCGGAACAAAAUCAUCUCUUCAUCUCUUCAUCUUCCAACCACCGACAAUCUCGAAAGCACCACAACCGCUCUCCUCCGUACGACUGCGCCGCCAACUGUUCUCCUCCCUACUAACGUACCGUCUAUCUCCCUCCACCCUCGUUUUCACACCGUGACUCAAAUCACUCGCUUUCCCUCUUCUCUUUUCUUCCAGUUUAGAACCCUAAACUUUUCCCUCUUCUCUCGCUUUCACUCUUUUUCUAUUCUAUUUAAAUUAGAACCCUAAAUCUCAUUUGUCCUCCAACAACAACAACGUCUCUACACCUCUGAGCAGUUUGAAUAUCAAGGAGGCGGAGCGAGGAAGAAGAUGAAGAAGGAGGCGGAGCGAGGAAGAAGAAGAUGAAGAAGGAGGCGGAGCGAGGAAGAAGAUGAAGAAGGAGGCGGAGCGAGGAAGAAGAAGAUGAAGAAGGAGGCGGAGCGAUGAAGAUGAAUGACAAUAAUAGUGGGUAUCAAGGAGAGUGAUCGGCGCAUUCUGAUGGUGUGGCAAUUUUUUCAAUGUACCAGGAUUUUGGAUUUUCCAAUGAAUUUGAAUAUUUCCUUGAUCAUUUUCAGGUGCUAGAAUUGAAGAGAGGUGAAAAGGGUCAACAAAGAAACCAAUAUAUCGGUCAAAAUAAACUUGGAUGGAAAUGGGAUUUCUGAUUCUAGUUCUAGAAUUCCCUUCCUUUUAUCAUAUGCUUGAUGUACUGGUGUAGCAGCUGAAGUGCAAAUGAUAUAUAGCACUUUAUAUGUAAAAGAAUAUGAAAGAACUAGGCAUUGGUGCUGGUUAUCUGUUCCAUCGAGUUAUUUUCUAGAUCAGUUAACUGACUUGGCAUUGAUUCUGUCAAGCUGAUAUAUAGCUAUGCAAUCGGGGUUUAAUGUAGUUGCGAUUUGUGACAAAGCUCACUAGUGCUUAGUUUGUAUUCACUAGGCUUACAUUGUAAAUGGGUUUAUACCCAAACUUUUAUUGUAACCUAUUAUCUUCUACAAAUUGUAACUAUUAUAUAUUAAAUGAAAAAAUUUGCUUGAA